This 373-nucleotide ribosomal RNA is filed under the name uncultured bacterium. Its description in RNAcentral is "bacterial SSU rRNA". It matches the Rfam family "Bacterial small subunit ribosomal RNA", at positions 527 to 898 of the family's 1533-position model. The record is from RNAcentral.
GUAGGGUGCAAGCGUUGCUCGGAAUCAUUGGGCGUAAAGAGCGUGUAGGUGGCUAGGUAAGUCAGAUGUGAAAUCCCUGGGCUCAACCGAGGAAGUGCAUUUGAAACUACCUAGCUCGAGGACGGCAGAGGAAGGUGGAAUUCCUAGUGUAGAGGUGAAAUUCGUAGAUAUUAGGAGGAAUACCGGUGGCGAAGGCGGCCUUCUGGACCGCUCCUGACACUGAGACGCGAAAGCGUGGGGAUCAAACAGGAUUAGAUACCCUGGUAGUCCACGCUGUAAACGAUGGGUACUAGAUGUUGUGGGAAUUGACCCCCGCAGUGUCGUAGCUAACGCGUUAAGUACCCCGCCUGGGAAGUACGGCCGCAAGGUUAAA